CUAGGCCGGCUCAGCGAGACGCGAAGAGGAGUCGGGAGCGUGUUGAGGGAGCUGCUUUUCUACCUCGCUCGGUAGCCAAAUUAAUUUUAAACAAACCACUAGCGGAAAGCGAAGACUGAAGGGGAAACGAGAAAAUAUUCGUUUCAUUUUGUUUUAACCCCACGUUUUUCUUUACGGUUGAGGGUCGCUGACGGAUCAUUGGAAACUGGGCGGGGUUUUGCUGUUGGAGGGGGAAGUCCUCUGUCCGCUGAGACGAGAUGGAGCUGCCCUGGUGCGUCUCCUUCUCUUUUAACGUGUAUUCAUCGCGUUCCAAGAUUUCUCUACGCCGCCUCUGGAUUUUUUUCCUCUUUGAUCAGUUCACUGGCUGAGGUAGUAGUUUGUGUUGUUGGAAGGGUCUGUGACACUGCCCAGUAUGGAGAUAACUGCGCAAGCUACUGCCUUGCUAGUGCUGGUGAUAACUCGGCGGAAACCAUCUCCGAUGUGAGUUUAUUUAAAAAAACAAGGAAAAUUGUUUCGAAUGAAAAUCGGGAUUGCAACGAUAUUGCAAUUUUUUUUGUUGAGUUCAACCGGACCUAGUUGCUUUUAGCAUAAAAAUAAAGUUUAUGCAUGCUUUAGCAAAUGUGAAAUUAGUGUUUUGUGGUUGUUUGUACAGAAGCCUAGACUUAAUCUUGCAACGUACGUGCAGAAAUCCACUGACCUGUCUUUAAAUUAGUGCAUGAAAGUUUGUUUUGACUAUACUUUCUCUAACCUGCUAAAUUUAAGCAGUGCUGCUUACCUUUGCAAUAAAUGUAGAACACUGCAAAAAAAAACUUGGUACAAUGGCUUUUUGGAAAAAGGAUAAAGUUCAGUCGUCAGAAUUUUUCAUAAUCGUAUUUAAAUCAGUGAUUUGUUUCUACUUAGUCCCAAUGCAAUGACAAAAUCAACUGCAACUGAGAGCCAGGAAGGAAAGACAUCAAAUGUCAAACAUUGCAUACUGUUUUCUUCCAUCAGUCUGAAUAGUGUUCUGUGUACCAAAAUGAUUGUCUGGCUGGUGCAGAUGAGUUGGACCAAAAGGUCUGUUUCUGUACUGUGUGAUUGUACAACUGUCACCAUGGUCUUAUUUUGUGUUUUGUUUCACAAAAAAAACUUGUCAACUGUUACCAUUUUCUCUUUCUAAUUAAAGUGGUUUAAAUACUG
Long non-coding RNA from Stegostoma tigrinum, 1176 nucleotides. RefSeq lists it as uncharacterized. The record is from RefSeq and is a predicted model, not a curated record. NCBI's taxonomy places the organism in Eukaryota, Metazoa, Chordata, Chondrichthyes, Orectolobiformes, Stegostomatidae. The transcript is spliced from 2 exons.